GCUGAAAUACAGAGGCCUAUACAGCCAGAGAGCUGUAUAGGUUUGAAUUCAAGUCUGAUUUACGGCUCCAUUUUAUCCAAAUCCUGUACACGAGAAGGGAGGAAAGCAAUAUAUUUGCCAAUCCUCCAGCUAAAUGGGUCUCACCACUAAACAUUGUUGAACAUCCCGGGGUCACGGGGCCGUGCUUUGUCAUAUUAUACCCCUUUGCCUCAAAAGCCAUCACAGUAAAUCUGGCCCCGGAACGUCGUAUUAAACGGCGCAGUGGACGUCUUCCGAGACUGAGGCUGAGUGCUAUCCUGGCACUCCGAGUGGACUCUGCAGGCUUCAAGUGAAGAAGUACAGCUGCUCCUUUGGCCCGGGACAAAUACUUAAAUGAGCAGAUUAUUAUGGGGAGAGAGCGGACUCCGUUCUCUCGCUGUUUGUUUUCUCACAUGUGUCAUUCAUAAUGCAUUUAAAUUCAAAAGAAAUGUCCUGUGACACUAAACAUCUAGCUGUGAAAACACAUUUUCCUGUUUCCUGUCUGCAAAUUGUUCCCCUGCUCUUCUGGGCCACCAUUGGUUUUCAUUUAUUGUGACCGACAUUCGCAGCUCAACGUUCAAAGAAUGCGAUGCAAUUCAAUUCCUUUUAUUUUGUAUAGCCCAAAAUCGCAAGUUGCAAAUUUGCCUCAGAGGGCUUUACAGUCUGUACACAUACAACAUCCUCUUUCCCGAAACCCUCCAUCGGCACAGGAAAAACUCCCCAAAAAAUGAGAAAAGGGAAGAAACCUUGGGAAGAACGUCAGAGGAGGGAUCCCACUCCCGGGAUGGACGGACUACAAUGGACGCCUUGUGUACAGAAUUAACAAUGCAAACGUUGUAUGAUACAUUCAAUGCACUGUAGUUUGUAGACAUAACGCGUGUGUUGUCCAUAUCGUCGUGAACGAGGAAGUAUAACAUCUGCUGAGGAGCUAACCAGCUGGUUAGCCCGACCCCGUGUACCUGCAUCCAGGCAGGAAGCCAGACCCUGCUUGAUUUUCAUUGGCUGCCCGGGCCUGGUGGCACAGUGACAUCUGAGAAAAUGUGAACUUUUAUGAGCACGUCAGUAGAAACUAAAAGGAAAGGAAACCGUUGUUUCCUUCGUUUUCAUCUCAUUCUCAUCUGUGGAACCCGGCGGUGCCGUUCGUCUUUCCGUCGUCUCUAUCUCUGCACAUUUUUACUGCGGGGAAACCUCGUGACGCUGAUAAAUAACAGGCUUCACCUUUCCUUAGCGGGGCUCAGCAUGAGUGACUGCGCUCCGAUGGUCUCUCCGAGAGUGUGUCCUCAGCUGUGAAUCACUUGUGUCCAACACACACACACACACACACACACACACACACACAGUGCGUUAGUCUUUCACCCGCAAGGGGAGCGCAAAGCAGAGAAGAUAAUCCCCGAAACGUCGCCCCGCUGUCAAAGGUCGUGAGAGUUCAAAGGUCACCCUCCACAUCAUUUAUAGGCUCUUAAAUAAGCCCGGGCCUCACGCUCCUGCCAACUUUCCCCCUUUCACGCAGUUAUCAGACUCGGAGAGUUAUGAAUCACUGGAGCUGAAACACAAGCGGGAUACAAAUGGAGCAUUGUGGAAGAGGAGAAAAUACAAGAGGGGGACAAUACAGCAAAAGAACAAAACUGUGCAUUAAAUGGCGUCACGACUGUUGCAUUUGACCAUAUCAUCACCAGAUUUUUAUUGUUAGCAUCUUUUCAGCAAUGCUUCACCCCACCCCCGAGGACAGACGGGUUAUUUUCACAACAUUAGAAAUGUAACAGCAUUAGGCCAUGAUAAUCCUUUAUCAUGUUAAGUUCACAGGAGCAUCGUGUAUACUGCAAACAAGAGACAUAGUGAAAACAAAACAAGUAUCAUAAAAAGAAAAAAAGCAAUAAAGAAUCCACAUAAACUGAAAUAUUAAACUGUAGCAGUCUGCUAACACCUACCAAGGGAGAUUAUUAUGUUAAUCCACAGACAGAAUAACUAUGAUUUAUUCAGAUUGCACAGGUUGAUGAAUUGAUAAUCACCAUGAUUAAUCAUUUUCUCGUGUGGAGAUAAAAACAACCGCUAAUCCAAAAGACACCUUGAAAAACACUACGAUGACACAUAAAUAAGGAGAAGGAAAGGAGGAAUCCAAACAACGGACAAAAGUCCUGAUUAAUUGAUAAACAUGGAGCGCAGGUUUGACAAAUGUAAAACUAUUUAAACAUCUGUUGGCAAACUCUUACAUUGCAAGUCUCAUUCCUGACCACUUCCCAUACCUCACUAGAACCUGAGGGCUCCAAACACCUGCGUGGGGCUGUUGUCGCUUGCUGUGUCACUGCAUGCGGCUGGAUAACUGAGUAAUAAGUUCUCUUAUAUUGCGCUCAGAGAGAAGUGCUCCGUGCUUCUCUCCGUCAAACAGAGUUGAAUAAAAAGAUCUGAUCUGGCUCUUAAAAGUGCUGUAGGACCUGACGUGAAUACAACAGGGGUCGGCGUUGUAAAAGUACCUUUGUGAACCCUUAAAAAAUGCAGGACAAGCCGGAGAGAGGCGAAGAGAGGAUGCGAGGAGAGAUGUGAUGUUGUGCGCCGUGGCUGUGACGGAAUUGUCCUCCACGGAGGACCACCGGGGCGGCAAGAAACAUACGUUUCUGAUUUCCUGGGAAGGCUUUAACUUCUGAUGGGUACACGGUCCUCCCACACACCAACACGGUCACUGGUGCCUGUGUAUCUGCAGGAAUGUGUGUAUGUGUGUGUGUGUGUGUAGUUCCACACAUACUCUUCUCCAGAAGAUGAAGCCAUUUCGUUAUUGAUGGUGUAGGGGCUUGAAGCCCCGGUCACACAGACUACAGGAGGUGUCUGUGUCCCCCCCUCCUCCACCCCGCCGCCCGGUAUGAUGGAGAACUCUUUUUCACUCCGGGCGACCCUAUAAACCUGUCUUACCAAUGAUCGCUGUCUAUUUCUAUGCUUAUCUUUGUUUUUAUCUCGGCAUGCCGGUUUAGCAUUUGUGCGUAAAACCAGCGAGAACAUCUCAUGAGAUCAGAUUCACACACACAUACACAAUUGCACCCUAAAUCACAGGCCCAGAACAACCUGCAAAACUUCAUCAUCCUACAAACGUAUUUAGUUACCAGCCUCGAAAUGUCAGAGAUUGGAAGCCUCUCCUGUCCGUAACAACGCUGUUGUGUUCUUCGAGUGUUGAUGUGGUUUCACCUCGUAGAGAACAGCUGCUAUGUUUGACCUUGUUUUCUGAGAUUUUGUUUCAAAAAGAAGAGACCUGUGAGGGUUGAAACAAAUAACAGAGGGUGUCAUGUGAUGCUCGGUCUGUGUUUGCUCCUAGUCUUAAUUUGUACAGGUCACAAAGCAGUUAUAACCGUUAGAAAGCUGAGAGAACUGAAUGAAUGAAGCUGUAGGCCCGGGUAGCAGUACCAGACCUCCCCGUGCUCCCCGUGGAGGAACAAAGAGCCUGGCAUUUCUUUUUAUUUAACGGAACAGAAGGUUCUGGCAGGAUUUCCGAGUGGACCUGGUCUUUAAUGAUUGGGGUCGUUGGCCGUGGUGCAUCACCACUGGAUCCGGCGUAUAUCUCAUAUCUCAACACAUCUCUGUUAACACACCACUUAAAAGUGCACUGAGGCCUGACCACUCGUGUGAUGCUAAUGCCAAGUGCACACGGGGUCACCGAUGCACUACAUUUACAGAGAAAUCGAGCACAGGUUCCAUUUCAGUGCGGCAUGUGGAGUGAGGGAGGCAGGAAAGCAGAACGGGAUCGCAAUCGUGAUCAAAAAUGGUCACGUAAUCCCACUGACCGGCCCAUUAACCGCUCACAUACAUCUCAGGUCUGUUUGUUUGGGUGGUGAAGCUGUGGGGGUCAAUGUCUUUCUCUAUUAUGAUUCCAUUAGAAGAGCCUGGAUCCUUUUCCCACUCUCUUAAGUCCGGGGGCCUCUGUGGUUUUCUAUGAUCGGUCCACACACCACUGUGCUCGAGAUGCAAGGCCGAGGAGAUAGCGAUAUUUUUUUUGUCCUCACUUGCCAGUGUCAGUUUGGACAAGGUUAAAGGUACAAAUAUAGAAAUAACAGGGAAGUAGGCCGUGUGGGAAAAUCUGCCUGUGCUUGUGGCAGUCUAAAACUCGUACCGCUCCACCGAUUACAAUCGUCUGUUGAUAAGUGGACUCCAGGAAUGCUGGAAUGAGCGAGGUUACGGUUAAUGUCCUCUUACUUUGACAUAACCAUUGGUCAAUGGUUGGCCGAGGCAGGCGUCUGAUCAAGAAGUCUGAUGUCAAGCCCAAAGUUAUGUCCUACAGUCCUAAGCGUUUGGUCCAAAAGUCAUAUUAUUUGUCUUAAUGAAAUAUUAUACUAUUUUGACUGUGUUUGACAUCUAAAAUUUCCGGAACGACGUGAUGGCUUGAAUUGCAAAAAAAUGUAAGGGUGCAUGUUUGAAAUGGACAUUUGGUAGAAUAAGGACAUUUUCGGAAUUCACAAUCUUCUUCCGGCCUUUUUCCUGACAUAGUCUGCAGCUGUGCGAUCUGCGUUGCUGUGGUCUACAGGUUGUGUUUUAAAGCCACGGUUGUAUUUUCCAUUUCAAGGCUUAACAUUCUGUUGACCGGUCAUUUUUAGGAACGGCUCCAACGGCUGAUUUACUGAUACACAGGGGUCAGCACUUUGAUUUACUCACUUCCUGUCGGGCCUGUCUAUGUCUUCUCUUGUUUUUCCUUCUCUUAAUGGUUUUUCAUAACUUGAAAACAUUUCCCAUUGUAGAUAACUAUUUUUCCUCUUUUAGCUGAUUGGUAACUAUUUAAUUUAUGUAACUUUAGCUCUUCUUGAAGAAUGUAGACAUCACAGGGGAAACUGGUGAUACUUUUUUUUCCUGAUAAAAAUGAUGGAUAAAGUGUUUUUGCUUUCAAAUUGAUGGUAAUCUAUUAGCCCUUGAUUGAUGGCGUUCAGUCCAGUCCUUAAUGACCUGUCACAUGGCGGGAAAAAUGAGGUCAGAAGUCAUUGGAUUGAAAUCAGCGGAGCUCCUGCCCACUGCCACUGUGGUCAUCUCUCCCUCCGCAUCUCGGAUCAAGACGACCAGUGUUUAUUUUCUCGUGUGGCCCUUCAAGUCGGAAGCGAAGUUGGGACGUCCUCCAAGAGCAACAUGUCGAACUAGAAAUAGAAGGUUGGGAUUUGCAAGGGAGUCCUGAUGGAAUGAAAACAGAUGGACGAUUGAGAUACGGAGAGAGGAAAAAAAGAAAGAAAGUAGAAUAAUCACUUAUGCAGUAUCUUAUUUGUCCAGGGCUCCAUUGUGGUCGCCGUUGACUCUGCCGAGCGCACUGAAAGGACAGAAUACAUUGUAUAUAACCGCCAUCAAAGCUUUGUCUCGGCAGGACACUAGAGCACCGAACCAAAAUGUUAAAACAAUUUUAACCGAACCCUUUCCCCACCUCCAUCAUUCCCUGUCAGCCCAUUUGUUAUUAAAGUGCUGGAAUGUGUCUGGUACUUCAUCAUGGUGGGCAGCGCUGUGCGCUCACUGCGGCGGUAGGAGGAGGCAUGGCUGAAAACAACUUGUAUGAUACUUACAGGCUUUGUUCAGCAAGAUAAUCUUCCCUAAUGUGGUACGGAGCUAACGUUAGGCUAUAAACACCACGAUGUCACCAACCACAAAGCCAGAGGCAGACUACAAGUCCACUGGAGCCACUUGUUAGCAAACACCUUUGUUAGAACGCAUGAAAACUUUAGAGGGAUUUAUGUACCGACGUAUGUGACAUUAAAAUCAUUAAAGUUCUGUUCACCAGAGACCUCAGUCAAAUCAGGCGGGAAGACUUGUUAAGAUAAAGUGGGGAGCAAAGGAAAUGACACGGUUUUCAUUGGUUUGCAAGAAUAAAGCUUUUCUUGUAGAGAAACCUGCUCUUUCAUGUGAGGAUGAGCCAAGAUUGUUGCUUUUUCCCCCCUUUUUGUGAAACACUUUUGUUUGACCAGCCGGUGAACCCAACACAUCCUUCUACCGUCUGAUAUCUGCUCCUCUCGGUUUUCUAGCCAGCGGAGCAAUCUGUCCCGCUCUGACUCCCUGUUAGCUACUUUAUUGUGCCGGCUGAAUGACUGGCUCAUUAUGAGCAGGUGACAAGGACAAGAUGGAGACGGAAGGCUGCGUUAGAUCACUGGAGCCUGAGAGUCAAGUAGAACAAACAAUGCUUUUUUAGAAAAUGUUGUUAGCAUAUAGGCAGACUUCUGCUAAUGGUCACAGAAGACAUAUGUUGUUUUGUGCAUCGGUAGGAGCUAAGGAGCUGUUUAUUGUAUUACUGAUCUCAUGGUUUGAGAUGAGGAACUACUUUCCUGUGUUGUCAUCAAUGACAUGUGACCCAACUACUACGUGAGAAGUAUUCGGUGCGAAUACAUUUCCUUGCUGAGAGUUGGAUGAGACGACUGAAAGACUUUGAGCUUUGAAAACUUUGUGAGUUCUGCCAUUAUUCCUGCUAGUAACACAAACAAUGUCUCACCGCAUUCACACGGCACAAUUUAGAAUAUCAUCACAGACAUUAUUAAUAACUUUAAUUAAAUUUCUAGGUUUUAAUACCAUUCUCUGAUACAUAAUUUAUCAUGUGGAGAUAAUUUCAUACACAUGACCGGCCGGCGUUGACCGGGUUACUUUUACUUUUUACCCUUCGUCUGGGGUUCUUUUAUCUUUACCAUUUGUAAACACUGAGCAUGACAACUCGCUGUGGCCUAGAGCGGGGAACAGAUUUCUUUCUUCCUUUUCUUUAACAACCUUUGUUUUACCACUAAACCUUCCAUAUUAGAUAUGGUUUUGUGUGUUCUGCCGUUUUGUAUUUAUUGUUUUGACCCACCAAUGUCUGCACUUCCUCUGACCAAACACUUCCUUGCAUGUUUCCUCGGGUUGGAACCAACGUUGCCUCGUGUAGUUGACUGACGAGUCACAUGAGGAUAAGGGAUUAAGCGACGGACUGUUUGAAGAUGUUCAAUACAAACAUUUUACAUCAGGCCGACAGAUCAGGCACGUCGAGUGGGUCAAAUAUUUGGAUCUAUUUUCAGAUGCACCUUAAUUUUUCUGCAGCUCCAGAUGGUGUCAGUGGAUUUGGCGCUGGAUGUUAAGGAGAGGGCUGUGAUUUGUUGCUCCACUAUUCCGCUAUAUAUCCUCCAACGGAUUUAGAAGUUCUUCCCUCGUUCGUCCACUCAGAGACAGAGAUAGCAUCUUUGAAGAAUUGUCCGCCACUGCCAGGACAUAACUUACUUCACACAGCCCGCUGAAGCUGAUAGCGAGCCAACAUCUGAGUGUGGUCGACCAUCUCUGUCCUCUCGUUCACAUCUGCCUGGACAGAAACAUCUGUAAAGCCUACACGUUUGUUCUUGGAAAUCAACAUAUCCACCGGAACACAGGACGUUUCUCCCAUGUACAUUAACACUGAGUUACUGUUGUCUUUUGCCGGAGGAUAUUUAUUAUUCUUUUUUAUUUUCUCAGAUUGUAUUCAUAAAAAAAUGAGAUAUGUACGAAAUGAUGGCAAAAGAGACCUGCAAACAUAAAUAAUAACACAUUCGGCAUAAACAUUUUUGGAAUCUGAUCUUCUAAGACUGAGAUGAGAAGAUCAUUGCAUCCAAGCAGCGAUAAUCAAGAUGAUUUAAUAAAGGGUGGAUAUAAUGACAACGUGCAAAACAAAAGAAUUAGCUUGAACCAACAAACCUGGAGAGACAUUGUGUAUUAUGACUCUCACUUGAUUUAUUUCCUGGGAAAACAUUGAAAACAUAAGUUUAGGUUUAUCUCUAGUUUCAAUUAGGCCCCACAAUACUUGAUGGUAAAACUUAGCUGCUUUACUUUCGUUCAAGUUUGCUUAUGUGUUAUGUUCCGUAAUGCACAUACUGUGUCUAAACAACCCUCGGCCAUGCUCGCUGAUCGUUAAAUUCUUAAGCGCGGCGGUUGGUUUCCUCACAGUCAUCACUGUCGCUGAAAAGGUCUGAAAGCUUAAAAAAAGUUAACAUCUUACUUUGGGAUUUGAACAGACACUUGCUCUCCUGUUUUUUGUUUUCCAUGUGAGUCCAUAGCUCCGCCUCACGCUCACUCGCUGUGCGUCGUUAUGGGCCCUCAAAGCUCGGCAUUGUUUCAGCAGAUAAUAUGCACACUUUGAUGUGAAAAGUGUCAAACAACGUCCAGAGGUUGUUGCAGAUUGCGUUUUCGUAGCACAGGUAGCUCGUCCUUCUUCACAGCCGCGCCUGGACACCUUGUUUUUGGACAGUUUGUAGACACUUUCCCCUCUGAGAAACAACAUAAGUGUUUUGGCAUGUGUUGGACUCUGUAACUCUGCCGCUACAUCUUCUAUCAUCAUCUCAUAUCCAAAUGCUCAUUUUGUAUAUGUACUGUAUACACAAAGACUAGUGAAACUAUCUUGGUUUUUCAUCUCUACUUUGUUCUAAUUUAAAACUGUUAAGGCAAAGAAGUUUGGUAGAAAUAAAAAAAGUUAUCUCUCUGUUGUCAUAUCAUUAGCCAGCUGUAUGUAGAAUAGCUCAUCCUUCCUCUCUUUGUAUCAGUAAACAGUUAAGACGGGAGGGUGGUUCUACACACACACACACACACACACACACACACACACACACACACACACACACAUUCAAAUACACACAGCUUGCCUGUACGGACCGCAGGGAGGAACCUUCUGGACCCCACUGAUCCAGACCUGCUGAAACAAAAGGCACAUGAAUAUGUACACCGACCAUACCUCGGGUCACAUGACCCAAUACACACACACACACGUCACCACACACACGCACAGAGUGUACAUAUUUGUACACAAUUGCCAGGCUUAGACAUGCGCAUCAAAAUGAAUAGGAUCAUUAAUAAAUGCUUGUUUGUAACUAAUCUCAGAAUAUGUGUUCUAGAAUACAUGCAUGUAAAAUGUAUACAUACUAUAGAAAGUAAAUAUAUUUUGGAUCUCAUCAACGAAACACAAACGAAAAGACAGUUAAAGCACCUUUUGGGUUUUGUGGUAUUGUGAAAUCCAAGGCUCCUUGUAUAAUGCCACGAUUUUAAAGCAGCUUAUGUUUAAGAAAUAUUUCUUUGUAUGUGUGCAUUUAAAGUUGAAAGAACAGACAGGGGAGGCCUAGUGACAGUCCUUAGUUUAAACAAGAGCGUGCUAUAAAAACAAAAAGAAUACGUGCCGGGUCACUAAGGUAGCGGGCGUUUCAUUUGAAGAUAUUUGUUGUUCAUUCUGCAGGAAUGUGUUCCAUCGGCCGUGGGGGCCAUCAAUCACGAAACUAGAUUGGUCGACUGGUCAGACGCCUUAGUACUCCUCUGGGACGGAAGGCAGCCGCGUUAAUACGCAGAGUGGAGCGGCGUGCAAUUGUCUCUCUACUCCUGUAUGUUUCUGUGCCUAUGUUUUACCCUUUUUAAGAAAUAGGAUCAGACGGAGAAAAGAACAUCUGAAGACAGAGGAGCAGUGGACUGAUCCAGCGUGUCACUGGUACUGCUGGUUUAUUUCUCUCCUGUGUCCUAUCAGAGAUCACAGGGCUUAUCAUGAUGGAUCCGUGUGAAUUUAUCAAGAAAACACGGGAAAAAAGACACAAACACGUCUUUUGCUCAACAAGUUACUGAAAGGUUCUCAUUAGAAUCCUGUCGAUGUACAACAGUAGCAUUUACCAUUCCCUUCCAUUUAAAGGGCAAAAGAAUAUAAUCUGUGUUUUCAUUAGUGUGUUGGCUGUUGUUAACUUUAGAAAGAUAUGGAACAGGUCUUCUCCGCUGAGUUUACUGUGUUGCACCGCCAUGUUUCGCUGCCCCUGUUUCUAUGGUAGCCUACAACGGACCAACCAAACACUGGCUUUAGACAGGGUCACUCCAGUACCAACCAAACACUGGCUUUAGACAGGGGUCAUUCAAAUACCAACCAAACACUGGCUUUAGACAGGGUCACUCCUGUACCAACCAAACACUGGCUUUAGACAGGGUCACUCCUGUACCAACCAAACACUGGCUUUAGACAGGGUCACUCCUGUACCAACCAAACACUGGCUUUAGACAGGGUCACUCCUGUACCAACCAAACACUGGCUUUAGACAGGGUCACUCCUGUACCAACCAAACCCUGGCUUUAGACGGCUUUAGGGCCAUUCACACUUUUGUGUGAACCACUCUAGCUCUUCAAAGCGGGACAAGUUUCAGUUGGUUAGAUGCUGCCAAAUACUAACCCCUUACCUCCAAAUUGGCUUCACUUGGCUUAAUUUGAGGCUGCUGAAAUCAGACUGGUCCCAUGCACAUUUUUACAUCUAGUUGCACCUUUUACACUGCGUACAGUGCAGACGGAGUUGCAUGUCAGUCCCACACGCUCGCACUUCAUUAAAACAACAUAUAUAUUCUAUUCCCCACAUGUCAGCCACUGUCUGGCUCUGAGGGAAACAACAUAAGUCAUGUGUGCAAGUAAAACAGCAAGCAGACUACAUAUGUGUGCGUGUGCACGCCGGCCCCGGGUGUUUGCGGAUAUGUGCACAUGCAUUCUUAUUUCACUGGACCCUCGCUGACGGCCGAACAAAGUGGUCUGACUUCUUCUGCUCUUGACAAGCACUUUUAACACUAUUUCCUGCUCACCUCUCUCUCUCUCUCUGGUUUUCUGUGUUCCUCGUGGAGUUGAAGAGUUGAAUCAUGGGUCAGCAGUUCUUUGUACACAGACACAGAGAGAGAGAGAGUGAGAGAGAGAGAGGAAGAAAGACGGACUAGAUUUCCAGAUGGUGAAGUCAUCAUUUAUCUCUGCUAGAUACACCCAAACUUAUACUUGCACGCACAUACGGUACGUGCACACACACACACACACACACACACACACACACACACACACACACACACACACACACACACACACACACACAAUGACUGUAAUUGCUAGACAACACACUUCUGCCAUCUAACCGUACUUUGCCUGCAUCCUCUGAUGUUCCGGUGAGCCGAUAUUUAAAACAAAUUGAGACGUGUCACAGCUGUAAUUGGCUCCAGGGGAAGAGCAUGAUGGGAAGAAAAGCGCUGAGUGGACACUUCCUUUAAGAUGAAGGGGGUGGGGGGGUUGCCUCCACCAGUGGCAGCCGGCCAGCGUCUUUGGCCUCUUGUUGAGCGUCCAUUCGUCUUGAAUGGUAACGCAGACGUGCUUGCAGUAAAACCCAAACGUUUCCCAAAAGAGAAAAUCUCCACAUCAUGUUCAAGUUGGAGGACGUGUUCCAUAAAGUUUCUGUCUUCACUGAUGACCAAAUGGGUCCAGCUGUUCCACUCUAAGAACUUUGAUAAUUGUGUUUCCGUCUCAGUCCGGUUUGCUUUUCCCAAAUGCGAUCUUCUCUUACAGCGUGACAGCCAUUUGGGUUGGUUAUUAAAAAUUGAUUUCCUGGCCAAGUGAGAGUAAGUGAGAAUGGUGUCUGCGCUGUGUGUGUGUGUAUGUGCGCGUGUUUGGUGGUUGCCGUGGCCACGACACAGCUGGCAAAACCGGGAGCAUCAGUCAGAGAGAAAGAGAGAUAAGAUUAAAUGGGAGAUCAGAAGCAGCGGCAUCGCUCAAGGACAUCACACACACGCACACACACACACACACACACACACGCACACGAGAAGAACAUAUCGACAUAGGAACUGAAAGACGGAAAGGUCAGAAAACAUUAAUGUGAUCCUGUGUUCAACGGGAACGUGUAACCCGGUCUGGUUCCAUCAUUUUGUCUUUUAAAAAACUGUUGUCCAUGAAAGGCGAUUUUUUUUAAAAGACCUUUAGUGAACUAUGUUUAGCGGACAUGAUGGCCUUGAUUGACGAGUGUCUCAGCCAAUCACAGACAGCCUGCUUGGCUCCUUUUUCUGCCCACAUUUGGAUGUUUAGGCUGUUUCCAAGAGACAGAGACAGCCAAAAUGUCAGCUCCACAAAGUCCCCUGACAUCAGAAACGUGACCUCAUUGCCUUUCUAAUCCGGCGAGCUGAUUCGUCUCAAGUUAACUGGACAGGCUGCCCGUGUCACAGUAACCUUAAUUAAUAAACAGGCCUGUCAAUUCCACUCACAACAUCUCGAAGCAUCGGGCCGACGCGGCUUGUUCCCAGUCCAGUCCUUGUUCAUUAGUGAGCGCGCCAUGUUUUUAUCUACGCAUAGAAAAUAAAAAAGUAGUUCGCAAUUCUCGUUAAAAUGGUGACUUGGUACUUUGGGAGAGAAAUCAAAAUACAUUCUGAAUAAUACUCUUCAAUAAAAAUCUAUUUGCAGAGUGUACGAAGUGUGUUGUUCGUUUGGCCUGUCCCGUUGAAGAUGCUUCAUCAUAGUUGAACCUUCUGGCUUCACUGAUGGCUGCAGGGUCACCAACAGGUCUCCAGAGGGCCACUGUGACGUGUUGGAAAAAGGAAGACAGCGCUUCAGAAGGGACAAGGGGAGGAGAGCUGCUCUCCUUAAAGUGAUAAAAAAAAAACCCCCAAUAAUAUUCACAUUAUUAUAGACUAUGACAUCAUACCAUAAUGUUGAGUCAUAUUGAUUUUAAAGAGCGGAACGAAUCCACUCAGCCGUGCGAAACUUGACUUUGUUCGGGGGCAUCAUUUAAUUAAAAAUAUGUUCUUUAAGAGCUCGCGCACUUUAAUAAAUAAAUAAUGAAAUGUUAUUAUUGUGUGUCACUGUUAAUUUUAAAAGUAUGGUACAAUCGGUAGGUCUUUUAUAUUUGAUUUUUGCAUUUAAUUCGCCGUUACCGGAGCGCGCGCUCACACACACACACACACACACACACACACACACACACACACACACACAGAAACGGAGUUUCUGAACAUUUAUCAUCGAAAGUGAUAAUGAAUAAUAAACAGUACGAGAUGAAUGGUUGUACUCGCGCGAUGUGUUGAUGAUGAUUAUAAAGAUAAUACAAUUAAUAACAACGAUGAAAAAUAAAUAAGGGGCUUAUAAUAAUAUUUUUCGCGUGGUUUAUAAUAUUGCAAAGUCUUAAAAUAAGUCAGUGUAGGUGGUUAUCUCUUGAGAACUAUUUAAUUGACACUCACUGCGGACCUUUAAAUUAACCCGAGGUUUACACUGGUCAAGAUGUGACCGUUUCUGGCUUUUAUUGAGGCUAUUCUCCCGCCUUUACUUUUUGCUUGAUUUUAUUAACAAAAAUAUGAACAUGUAAAAAAAACAACAACGAAUGAAACCAAAAAGGACCGAAGGCCUUGAAGCCUGAAUCCGCCAGAUAACCGUCAUCUGCAACUGGCGGUUAACCCGUUAACAAAUUACAUUACGUUUUUACUCUUGGCACCUAAAAAACGACACCGAGAAAAACAGAACAAUACUAUACGAUCUAUGUUGGAGGAAACGUGUUGGUAGAUCGAAAAGACUGCAGCAACUUUUCCACGUUUUAAAUCGGAUUUCUGUCUGAAAACAUAUCCCUGCGCGUGGCCGGGUCUCGUUUCUCACCUCAGUCCAGGUGGAUUGUAGCGUUUAACUAAUCAUAAGAAUAUUCCACCGCAGUAUCUUAAUUCAGUUCAUUUCAAAUAUCGUAAAAUUGCGUGUUUGACAGUUCAUCAUUAAAAACGAUAAACUCACGUGGGGCCUUUAUGACGCACAUACAAAAAAGCUUUAUUUAGGAAUAUUCAACCUCUCGGGGAUUAAAAAAGAUUACAGCUGUCUGACCUCAUGAAACAACAAAGUAUUCAUCGGAUAUUUUUUCUUAACACGCUUAUAAUAUUCCUUGGCAUGUUUUUCUUUUAACCUACAAUAUGAAACAUUAUAUAUAUAUAUAUAUAUAUAUAU
Molecule: long non-coding RNA, 13686 nt
Organism: Gasterosteus aculeatus aculeatus (three-spined stickleback)
Lineage: Eukaryota; Metazoa; Chordata; Actinopteri; Perciformes; Gasterosteidae
Source: Ensembl